Molecule: transfer RNA, 67 nt
Filed under: Marmota monax (woodchuck)
Lineage: Eukaryota; Metazoa; Chordata; Mammalia; Rodentia; Sciuridae
Description: tRNA.Ala
Source: RNAcentral
GGCUGUAGCUCAGUGGUAAAGCACUUGCCUAGCAUGCAGGAGGCCCUGCCUUCAAUCCCCAACACUG